UGAAUGCAGUGGUAUGGAUGAAUAAUCCAUGAAUGGAUUAAUUCGCCACUAAAGUGAUUAUAAGACAUGCGUAAAGUCCACCCUGCCCAGCCCUUGUCCUCAUGCUACAGGUCUCCCCACCUCACCUCGACUUGGAGAUCCACCGGGCGCUGGAUCGGGUCCAUCCACCCGUCGGUGUGCAGGUCCCCUGUUGCUUUAAGCAGUGUGUUUUUUCGACCAACAGGAGGCGUGUCUUCCCCACGGCCGGAGCGGAGCGCAGCGAGACACGAGUCUGAAGGAACCGAUCUGGCUCGUCUCUCUAUCGGAACAAAUCAACUACUUGCUCAGCUCAUUCUAAUCGAAGAUCGCCGUGAAUGGAUUUCUCCCGGAUUUGCCCAGACUAACAUGGAUGCCCCACCGUUAGCUGAGUGGGAAGGUUGUUACUUGGCGCAGUGAGCUGGACACGCAGCGCUUGCUAAUGGAUCUGGGGAAACGAAUGAUACCUUCUCCCUGACUGACCAUGCCGUGAUCUUUCUGUGGGCCGUCACCCUGCUUAACGUCAAAAGAAACAUUUCGGGGGAAUCUACUGAUCCAGGGAAUAAAUACUGUGGCAUCACACAGACACCAUGAAGAUUACCUCCCCGCUCAUAAGUAAAGCGAGAUUCAGGUGCACCGUCAGGCUUCUACUGCUGCUAUUACUAUGUGUGGGAUAUUCUCGCGGGAUGCCACACGUUUUAAGAUUUGGUAAGGUUGUUAUUUUAUUUCUCUGUUACACAUUCUCACUGUCUUGAUGUAGUAGCCUAGCUAUUCCCUAACUCUGUAACUGUUGUCAUUUCAUGGCUGGGCGCCAUAGUUGUCUUAUAUACUUCCUAGUAGACGUGUUGCCGUGACCCCAAUGGUCCUCUUGUCCCAGACUUUUUGGAGUGAGCUCGUGCGCCCAGGAGCCACAUCCCAGCAAUAGCUACUACCCCUAUGCACGGUGUUGUUUAUCACAGCUGUCUAGGGACAUUGCAUUAUCUAUUUUGUCCUGAAACCUUUAUGCAUGACAACAUUUCCACGCAGAAUGACCCGCCAGCAGACUAGUACAACUGCAGUCCAUAUAGAAACAUAUAUAACCUACAAUUAUCCUCGCAUAACUGGAUUUGAUCAUCAUUUGUGGACCUUGUUUCAAAUUUGCG
Molecule: long non-coding RNA, 1157 nt
Filed under: Salmo trutta (river trout)
Lineage: Eukaryota; Metazoa; Chordata; Actinopteri; Salmoniformes; Salmonidae
Description: lncRNA (ENSSTUG00000024759.1)
Source: RNAcentral